Long non-coding RNA from Cyprinus carpio (common carp), 2750 nucleotides. The record is from Ensembl. NCBI's taxonomy places the organism in Eukaryota, Metazoa, Chordata, Actinopteri, Cypriniformes, Cyprinidae.
CGUGAUUUCACCAGGUACAACAUGUUCCUGUAUCAACAUUCCAAUCAACCAAUCAGAAUUGAGAUAUAACUUUUCAGGAAAUAUCUGUUUUAGGCUUACAAUCAGGGUUAGGUGCUUCAACACCCUUGUUAAUCAGCUAUCAUUUCCCUCUGAUUUAAUGAUUAAAUUAUGGGUAGUGUUAGGUUUAGGGGUAGGGAUUGGGUUAAAUCUAUGUUUUUGGACAAUAAUGUUGAUCCAGGAACAUGUCUUGGCAAAAUCACGGCGACCACCAAAAACACACAGCAUAUACAUUGGCAUGCAAAAGUGUUCCAUCAUGGAGGAUUCAGUGGAGGUCAUCCUUCAGCAUAAAAGUUGCAAGCCCUCCCAUCAUACUCAGGAAAAGCCAGUUUUCACAGCGGCAUCUGGCGCUUUGCUUGUGGAAGUUUAUGGCCUCUGGUUAUUAUUUGCACUUCCUGGUUUUCAGAAAGUACCCAUAUGGCGCAAGGUACUGGAAGGUUAUAUACAAUAUAUUGGCAGAUAUUUAAAGCUUUGCUCAGCUAUUCGUUCAAUACCCUGGUUAUCCUUUUAGAUGGCAACAAUCUGAAUUUUACCAUGUGCCUGGAUACAGUGGUUGUUUAGAUUUAUAGUCUUACAGAGAGAAAAUGGAAAUCAAUUAAUCACUGAUGUAAGUGAAAUUAAUAUUGUCCAGAUGCCUUAUUUGCCCUCCAGUAGAACACAGACCCAGAAUGUAAUGAAACUCCUGCAUGGGAGAGCAAGGUGUCUGGCAGAUCUGGGAUCUGGUGAAGGGCGACUGGUGAGGCUUUAACAUUGACAGUAAAUGAUAAUUAACUGAAUAUACGACAUGUUUUCAAAUAUCGCGGUUAUUACUAAUCAUUCUGCAUAAUACCAAUGUACAUAUUUGUCUUCUAUAACAUGGACCUCUAACAAAAAUCCUAAUAAUGUAAUGUAUAUAGUAUUUAACAUUUUUAAUAAUGUAUAUCUCCAAGUGCUAUACCAGAUUUCCAGAUGAAGUUUUGUGCUUUAAGCACUUUCUGUUUCAGAUGCUUCUGACGGCUUUCUGCAGAAGACUACAUUCUCAUGACAAUACAUGGUGAGAUGCUUAGCAGCUGGGUGGGAGAGAAUGUAUGGGAAAUAUUACAAAUGUAAAAAAAAACACAUUUGAUAGUCUAUUUAUAAUUUUGCAUGACUUUGCUGUUAGAUGUAGCUCAUUUCUAAGCUCUUGGGGCUUGGCUUUCAAAAAAGAAAUGACUAAUAUGUGGGUUAUUUAUACAGUAAUUUCUCACUAAGAUAAUGGCCACUGGGCAGCCUACCUGGGGCUGCCUCUUUUGUGUUCAAAAAUAGAUCUCAUUAACUCUCAAAUUUGAAUGGAAAAAAAAAAACAUUUUUCUCCUGUUACGUCUAUAAUUGCAAGAAUCAUUGGUCUUGUCGUUAAAAAUAUUCUUCUUGGUUUCUUUUAUACAUGGAAAGCAAACAAUAUGAGCCACAGGUAGUCUGCAUCAUGUCCAGUUUUAAAUGACAUAAAUAUCACAGACGCUGGUUCUCAAAGUGUAGGAUUGGCCUUGAUGUGUUUUGUAGGUAAUUGCUACCACUGUCAAGGUAAAGUGGAAGGGAAUAACAUCCAGUACUGCAAGUUUUAUAAACCAGGACUUUUGGAAGGUAAGCUAAAGGUGUUAAAGUGAAGAGUGUAAUUCCUGUGCCACCAGGAAUUACACACUAGACUUUGUCUUCCAUUGGCCAGUAAAACAAAUAGCUCCGCCCCCAACUCAUUCCAUUGGUUAAGUAAAUGUUGCCGUGUAGGGAUGCUAAAACAAACAUUAAACAUUAAAGCCAUUAUGUGCACGAGCACCAGUGGGAUUCCACACAAAUAUUCAAUGAACAGUGAUCUAUAGACACAGAUUUCUAUAGGUCACUAGUUCUCAGUCAGAGGGCCUCAGCAAACCUACCUGUACUAGUUCUACAACUGUGUGGAAAACCAUCUAUUUAAAAAUUACACAUACCACAUGCAUAUUUUAUUUCACAUGUCCAAAUGUUGAUGAUUCAGUUUUAUCACUUCCUUUCACAAACUGAUUUGUCCAAAUAUAACAAUGUGACUGUUUUCUUGGCACCCGAAGUGGUAAGUAUGCACAGAUGUCCUUUCUUCAUAUAUUGAGCUGAGUAUUAAGAUAGUAUCUUUACAAAUCAGUGCAACAAAUUACAUCAUCUAGACAUUUAUUCUUAAUUGUGGUGUGAUUUUCUCUGAUCAUGGGAAUUCUAUGAAGAAUAUAUAUGGUUAGGUUACACUGUAGAGUUUCAAGUAAUUUAAAAACAAAAUGUUGUGUGAGACAUGUGGAAGGACACAGGCCUGCGUCUUGGGCAUAUGAUAUUGAUGCUAUACGGAAGCUUUCAACACAAGCUACCAUGAGAUGAGGGGAAAAGCAUCUUCCCUUGUCAAAAAGCUUUCUGUUUCAUGUUUUAGCACUGGCUGAAAGGUACCGGUCACCAGUGCCUAUUCGGUGUCUCACCUCAAUCGUCAUAUUGAGGGUGGAAGAGAGUGCUGGUUAUUCACUCCCCCCACCUACAAUCCCUGCAGGUACCGAGACUUGAACACGUGACCUUUGGGUUACAAGUCUGACUGUCUAACUAUUAGGCCAUGACUGCCCCCUUAAAAACCAUUUUUAACUAAAAGGUUUGCGCACAAUAUAUUAAGCUAAAUAUAUUUUGAUAAUUAUAAUGAGAUAAUAAAUAAUACUUAAAAUUUUAAUCUUAAUUCA